GAAAAAUUAUAAUCCAAACAAGGUGUUAGUGCUUUUUGAGUCUAUCCAAUGAUGUCUCCUCCAUCACAAUCGGAAGGUCUUACUUGGCGCAAAGAGAUGAGAGGCGGCACUAUUUUGGAUGGGUGGCAAGCUCUUUUCUUUCAUGCCAGCGGCGUUAUAUUGAAUGGUUGGCUAGGUCUUCUCUUGCCCGCCUAGGGUUUCAGGAUAGGGUCUAGGCCGAGUGGCCUCAGUACUCAGGCUGUGAAUUUGUGCUAAGCUUGACUUGGGCUCACAUUUUUUAUUUGUUUCUGUUUCUAGUUCCAUUCUAUGUAAGUUUGCCCUCUAGGCUUGUUAAUGCAAAUGCAAUUGCAGGUAAAAAAAACGUAACACCAGAAAUAUUUUUACAAAAAUCUAAGGACAUCCUGCUGGACUGCUAACGGAUUCUACCAGGCUGGCUGGCUGCACUUAGUUAUCAAAUUGACCUUUUGAGCAUGUGUAUGGAAACAUAGGCCCACAGCUUGCAAAUCAAAUUUUCCAACACGGUACUAACCAAAAAGAAUGG
This 541-nucleotide unclassified non-coding RNA is filed under the name Hevea brasiliensis (rubber tree). The record is from RNAcentral. Lineage: Eukaryota; Viridiplantae; Streptophyta; Magnoliopsida; Malpighiales; Euphorbiaceae.